GAGAAAACACGUAUGGGGUGCCUAUUAACUGAAAGGCAUCUCCAGUCUCACAAACAGAGGCAAGGCAAAAGGCCUUGGAGGAUACGGCCAUGAGAGCUUCGGCUGAAAGAACAAACCUGGGUUCAAUUGGAAAUCAGUUGAUGCACUGGAGCGCUGACUACAACGUGCCAGAUAGAAAGCCAGCUUGUCUUUGGACCUGCACUAGAAGAACGUGAUUUCCAACUACCCCGGGAAAUGCUGUAACAGCUGUAAAAGGAAAAGCCUCGCCUAAAACCAAAGCCAUUUGGAGGAAUGGGAAGCCUGUUUUGUUUUUUAUCUAAAUAAAGAAAAAUGUGUUUUAAACUAAAAUAUCGUU
RNAcentral lists this long non-coding RNA (355 nucleotides) under Mus spicilegus (steppe mouse). RNAcentral's name for it is "lncRNA (ENSMSIG00000018692.1)". Lineage: Eukaryota; Metazoa; Chordata; Mammalia; Rodentia; Muridae. The record is from RNAcentral.